This 1349-nucleotide ribosomal RNA is filed under the name human gut metagenome. RNAcentral's name for it is "bacterial LSU rRNA". It matches the Rfam family "Bacterial large subunit ribosomal RNA", at positions 1089 to 2516 of the family's 2925-position model. The record is from RNAcentral.
ACAACCAGGAUGUUGGCUUAGAAGCAGCCACUCAUUAAAAGAGUGCGUAAUAGCUCACUGGUCGAGUGACCCUGCGCCGAAAAUUCAACGGGGCUAAACAAUGUACCGAAGCUUGGGAUUCUAAAGUAAUUUAGAGUGGUAGGAGAGCGUCGAAUAAGGGGUGAAGUCAGAGCGGAAGCGCUGGUGGACUUUAUUCGAGUGAGAAUGCCGGAAUGAGUAGCGAGAAUUAUGUGAGAAUCAUAAUGGCCGAAAAUCUAAGGUUUCCUGAGGAAGGUUCGUCCGCUCAGGGUAAGCCGGGGGCUAAGGCGAGGCGGAGACGCGUAGCCGAUGCACAUACGGUUGAAAUUCCGUAGCCACCGAAAGAUUUAAGUACAGGGACGCUUUAGAAGUGAUGUAGCCGGGCGAUGGUUGACCCGGUCGUAAGGGAUCGAAAAUGAGUAGAGAAGUCAUCAUGGAAAGAGACAAGAAAAGCUGUAUGAAUAUCUUAGGUGCCCGUACCGCAAACCGACACAGGUAGAUAGGAAGAAGAUUCUAAGGCCAACGGGAGAAGGGUUGUUAAGGAACUCGGCAAGUUGACCCCGUAACUUAGGGAUAAGGGGUGCUCAAGUGAUUGAGCCGCAGAGAAUAGGUCCAGGCGACUGUUUAGCAAAAACACAGGUCUCUGCUAAAUCGAAAGAUGACGUAUAGGGGCUGACACCUGCCCGGUGCCGGAAGGUUAAGAGGAGAUGUGAGAGCAUUGAAUUGAAGCCCCGGUAAACGGCGGCCGUAACUAUAACGGUCCUAAGGUAGCGAAAUUCCUUGUCAGGUAAGUUCUGACCCGCACGAAAGGUGUAACGAUCUGGGCACUGUCUCAACAACCCGCCCGGCGAAAUUGUAGUACCGGUGAAGAUGCCGGUUACCCGCGACUAGACGGAAAGACCCCAUGGAGCUUUACUGUAGCCUAAUAUUGGAUUUCGGUAUUUCACGUACAGGAUAGGUGGGAGACUGGGAAGCACAGGCGUCAGCUUGUGUGGAGUCGACCUUGGGAUACCACUCUUGGAGUGCUGGAAUUCUAACCUGCGGCUUUGAAGCAAGUCGGGGGACAUUGUUAGGUGGGCAGUUUGACUGGGGCGGUCGCCUCCUAAAGAGUAACGGAGGCGCUCAAAGGUUCGCUCUGCAUGGAUGGAAACCAUGCGUCAGAGUGUAAACGCAAAAGCGAGCCUAACUGCGAGAAUGACGGUUCGAGCAGUAACGAAAGUUGGAGUUAGUGAUCCGGCGGUAUGUGAAUGGAAAUGCCGUCGCUCAACGGAUAAAAGCUACCCUGGGGAUAACAGGCUGAUCUCCCCCAAGAGUCCACAUCGACGGGGAGG